AUGCACUUGCAGAUCAUCAGUGGUCUGUGUCCUGGCUCCAUGGUGAAUGAUCCUCAUUUUGGUCAACCCGCUGUGGAAGCCUUUACUCGAGGAGGUGCUGCUGGUCCAGUGAAUAUUGCUUAUUCUGGAGUUUAUCAGUGGUGGUAUACAAUAGGAUUACGCACCAAUGAGGAUUUUUAUACUGGAGCUCUUUAG
This 195-nucleotide ribosomal RNA is filed under the name Triticum aestivum (bread wheat). RNAcentral describes it as "partial small subunit ribosomal RNA". The record is from RNAcentral. Lineage: Eukaryota; Viridiplantae; Streptophyta; Magnoliopsida; Poales; Poaceae.